GUUGGAGCGGUGGGGUCCCUCAGCCCGGAUUGUGAGAGGGUGCAGGCCAGGCCGAGGGACCCCAUCAGUGCAGA
This 74-nucleotide microRNA precursor is filed under the name Myotis brandtii (Brandt's bat). RNAcentral's name for it is "mir-9193 microRNA precursor family". It matches the Rfam family "mir-9193 microRNA precursor family". The record is from Rfam by way of RNAcentral. Lineage: Eukaryota; Metazoa; Chordata; Mammalia; Chiroptera; Vespertilionidae.